UACGGAGGGAGCUAGCGUUGUUCGGAAUUACUGGGCGUAAAGCGUACGUAGGCGGUUACUCAAGUCAGAGGUGAAAGCCCGGGGCUCAACCCCGGAACUGCCUUUGAAACUAGGUAGCUAGAAUCUUGGAGAGGCGAGUGGAAUUCCGAGUGUAGAGGUGAAAUUCGUAGAUAUUCGGAAGAAACACCAGUGGCGAAGGCGGCAUCCUGGACCGAGAUCGACGCGUGAGGCGGCG
RNAcentral lists this ribosomal RNA (235 nucleotides) under uncultured bacterium. RNAcentral's name for it is "partial 16S ribosomal RNA". It matches the Rfam family "Bacterial small subunit ribosomal RNA", at positions 524 to 755 of the family's 1533-position model. The record is from RNAcentral.